Molecule: long non-coding RNA, 3216 nt
Filed under: Nicotiana benthamiana
Lineage: Eukaryota; Viridiplantae; Streptophyta; Magnoliopsida; Solanales; Solanaceae
Description: long non-coding RNA (NBEN_LNC028411)
Source: RNAcentral
UUUGUAUAUACAAAUAUAUUGUUGGAUUCCAAAGUCACAAAACACAAUAACGUUUAGGAAAUUUUUACAAACACAAAUAUAUUUGAACUCAUUCUUUGCAUGAAUGAUCUGGUAAAACUCAUUUAUAUAUGUCAGCUCUUACAUACACAAAUAUAUUUGAACUCAUUCUUUGCAUGAAUGAUCUGGUAAAACUCAUUUAAAUAUGUCAGCUCUCAGUUGUACUUGUUUAUUUGCAAAAUGUUUAAUCCGUAUUUGUGAGAUUUCCCUAUAACUCAAAUAUGUGCAAACUACAUAUUCUUUAGCAGAACCUGUAAAAUAAUAAACAUAAUGUUAAUUGAGGAAACCAAAAAAAACAGAAAGAACAUUGUUAAAUAUAGAAUGAUAAUUUACCUGACAAAAUAUUUGUACAAUAGGGCUAUGCAUCAAUUGUAGGAAUCCCGUAUGAUAAAAUAUAGAGUGAAGAUAUAAGCACGGGAAAACCCUUAAUUUUAAUGCAUAUGUACAACAAUACCACAAUAUGGGAUUCAUUGUUAAAGGAUCAAGAUGGGAAUACAGUUGGUACAAACAAAAGAUGAGAAAAAAUUAAUUUGCAAGUGCUAUUGGAAUUGAAGAAGUAUAAGGUUUUGCUAAUCUUAUGAACACCAAUAUUAUAGUUUUCUAUAUUCACACAUCAAUUUAAGAGUAUAAAUAACCACUUUGGCAUUAUACAUAAGAGAGAUAGCUAACGAACACAUCAUUAUUAAAGAAAGAAAGAUGGGAUUUAUUGUGCGGUUUACAUAAGAGUUAUUUUUUCCCUCUCUUGUAAAUCAUCACAGUAACACAACUAUUUGUUACUUACUAUCAAACCAACAUCUAAAUCUCUAAUAUCCAUUCACCAUUUACACCAAAGGUUUUCAUCACAUUACUACUUUAAAGAAACUACAUGCAUAUGAAUGAUUCUCCCAAAGUCAGCUCUUUCUUGUUCCUAUAAUAGUUAAGCUUCUACAUUAAAUUGUCCUCAUGUUGAAUCACUUGGUAUGAGUUAAUUUUAAGAUUUAAAGAUUAUUUACAUUAUGCAUAAGUAAAUAUUAUUUUGUUGCAACAGUUUGGAUUCCGUCAACUUACUACGUGUGUAAAGAGAGGGAGUGCCUUUGGAUGGAAGACACAGAACGCUUACAUUUGAAAAAAUGGCAAGAUAUGUGAAAAUCGGUAAAACACAUUACCUAAUAGGACUAAUAUUGCUGAAGCUAAAAGUAUUUUUGGGAUCAUUAGCCUUCAACUGUUAUGUUAAAUGCAUAUGUCGAUUUUAAAGAUGAACACAAAGAUUAGAGCAUGAAAAAGUCAAGUUCUUUUCUUUGCACAAUUAUUAUUAGUUGUGCGAGAUCUCUUUUUAUUUCACAUAUAUGUUGAACAUUUAGGUCCACAAAAUUAUGUGACAAAAAAGAGGCGUGUACGAAAUAAAAUUUUGCAUUGGCAAUGGAAGAAAGGUCUCUUUCUGGUAGGACAAUUGGCUGGGGCCGGGGCAUUAACCUCCAAGGGAAUAACUUUCCAGUAGGCUUUAGUACGUUGGAAAUGAUAUUUAUAUGACAGCUGGAUGCAACAGGGAAGGUAAUUCUUGGAGUAUCACAUUCUAAAGGAAUUUAAAUGACUGGAAUUGGAUAGAAUUUCAGAGUUUCAUAUCAUCCUCUCCUCAGAUUAAGGUUACAGUAACAGAGAAUAUUAAAUGAUAUGAAAAAGGCAGGGAUGUCAUCUAGACAGUAAGAUGAUACUAUAAAUUACAUGGGCAUUUAGGAGAAAAAUUUUAAAAAAAUAGCAAAGGGACUUUCAUAUCUAAUUGAAAAAGUGAAUCCCUGCAUUGUACGAAGAGAUAUUAAUGGCAACAAUAUACUUGUUGAUCAGAAUUUUACACCAAAAAUUGCCGAUUAUGGAUUGUGUAGGCUAUUUCUAGCAAUAAAAAUCCGAAGGUAUAAACAACUGAUUUUCGACUUAAAUGUCCACCGUCGGCGUAUUAUGGAGAAUGAUAGCCUCUUUAGGCGUAAGGUAAUUAAGUGAAUUAAUUAACAACAUAAUCAGCAAUAAACACUCAAAUGUAGAUCCAAAAUGAGCAAAAUGUAGGUUGAACUUACAAUGUUCCAUCACUCGGGUAGUUACGUGGGAAGUUUUAAAAGUUUAGAGUAGAAAUUACUAGCAGAGGAGGAAGUUGAACAACUAUCCAAUAGUAAUUUAUAUGGUCACAGUGAACAUCUAAUAUAGUUUAAACAUCAUAUCACCAAUUUUUUUAUAUACAAAUUUUAUAAAUAUUGUUUUCGAAUGAGUGAGUUUUGAAGGAAGAGAAGUAACCGGAAGUUGAACUAAUAUGCAAUACAAAAAUCCAACGCUACAAUAAGAAUCUAAUAGAAUUUAAAAUCCAUAACACUAAAUUAUAUAUAGACAACAUUUUUAGAUAUAGAUUUUGUCCAUAGAUAUAAGAAUUCUUCUGGUUGAUGAGCGUUAAAUAAUUGCAGGUUCCAUAUUAUUUUAUGCAUGAAUCAUAUUAAAAAGUACAUUACAGAGUGCAAGCAAUGUGAAUUUGUUAAACGAUAAUGAUAUCUUAACCACUAUUAUUGGUUUUCCACAUUAACGGAAUUAGAAAGAUUUGCGACCAUGUCCAUGCAAUCUCAGUAAAUAAUUAAACUCAAUCUUACUCCCUAAUUAAAUCAUAAAGUUCGAACCCUAUAAAUAGUGGCACUGCCAGUUCGAAGCUCAAACAGAAAAAGAAGUGACGUCGUUUAGUGCCUUACCUUGUUUGCCCAGGCCUAUAAAAUUAGAUUAGGCUCCAUAGAAGUUAGUAAGAGUAAAAUAUGUAAGAACAAAGCAUAAAUGAUAAAUAAGUAUAACAGGGUUACAAACCGGGAAUUAUGGAGUGAAAACGACUUUACUCUGAAAUUGUUUGUGGGGGACGGUGUUCUUCAGUUGUCUUCAUUGGCGGAGAGGGAAAUAAUCUUUUUUUGUUGUAAUAGAUAUAACCUCUGCAAAUCAGAAAUAAGGCAAUGAAGGGAGAUGUAGUUGAGUAAAGCAUAGGUUUUUGAAUGUAAGUAAUUAAGAGGCGUGUGUAUUUGAAUAGGGGAAAGGGAAUUGUAAAUGCAGAGAAGUUUGUGUAAAUUGAAGCAGAUGAAACGUAAUUGGUAAUUUAAAGAAGCGGCGCUGGAGGAAGGGAAAGGGAAAAGAAGUGGCGACCAAAGAAUAUGCGAAGCUUUU